Molecule: ribosomal RNA, 2541 nt
Filed under: Triticum aestivum (bread wheat)
Lineage: Eukaryota; Viridiplantae; Streptophyta; Magnoliopsida; Poales; Poaceae
Description: partial small subunit ribosomal RNA
Source: RNAcentral
AUGGAUUGGUCGGCUCUCACCAGCUGCACCACGGUCAUGAUCCUUCUCUUCCUGCCAUUGAGCGCUUCCCAAGACCGGCUUGUCCCCGGCAGGGCGCUGUCCCCUGGUAACACCAUCGUCUCCGAUGAUGGUGGAUUCGCCUUGGGCUUCUUCAACCCCUCCAAUUCUUCUCCGGCCAGCUUGUACCUAGGCGUAUGGUACAACGACAUCCCUGAGCUCACCGUUGUGUGGGUCGCCAACCAAAAUACCCCGGCCACCAACACAACUUCCUCAACACUGAAGCUUUCCCUCACCAACACCUCUAAUCUGGUUAUCUCUGAUGGUGGUGGCGGAAGCCGUGUCAUUUGGACAACAGCCAUAAUGACCACCGGCCUGGUCUCGUCUACCCCGACGGCGGUGCUUCUAAACACCGGUAACUUCAUCAUCCGAUUGUCAAACGGCACCAUCCUGUGGCAGAGCUUCGACCAACGCACAGACACGUUCCUUCCCAGCAUGAAGAUCGGCAUAAACUACAGGACGCGUACCACCACCAAGCGCCUGGUAUCAUGGAGAGGCCCCAGCGACCCCUCGCGGGGGCGCUUCUCCUAUGGCAGCGACACGAACAGGUCAUUCCAAACAUUCUUGUGGGACGGGGAGCACCCGGUAUCUCGUGCCGCCCCCUGGACAGGGUAUCUAGUGAUGAGCCUACGGCAACAACAACUACUUGGGGCCACAAAUAGCAGUGGUCUUAUCAUCUACCUAGCCUAUGUAAACAAUGACGAUGAGGCAUACGUCACUUAUAGCCUCUCCGACGGCGCCCCACGCACCAGGAUGGUGCUAACCUACUAUGGUGAGUUUCAGAUCCAAAGCUGGAGCAGUAAGUCAUCAACAUGGGUUGUCCUCUCGAAGUUUCCAUCCGCUGAAUGCAACCAUUACAGUUAUUGCGGCUCGUAUGGCUACUGUGACGAGACGGCCGAGGCACCCACCGUGCCAACAUGCAGGUGUCUUGAUGGCUUUGAGCCGAGUAGCAUGGAGGAGUGGACUAGUGGCAGAUACUCGGCGGGGUGCCGACGGAAGGAGGCACUGCAAGGGUGCAGUGACGGCUUCGUGGCCUUGCCGGGGAUGAAGUCACCUGAUGGGUUUUUGUUUAUUGCUGGAGGGAGGAGUAAAAUUGAGGAGUGUGCGGCGGAGUGUAGCCGCAAUUGCUCCUGUGUGGCAUAUGUGUUCGCCAACCUGAGCAGCAGCAGGUUCGAAGGACACGUGACGAGGUGCUUGGUGUGGUCUGGGGAGUUAAUAGAUACGGGAAAGGUUGGGGAGCUCACCGGCGAGACACUCUAUCUUCGACGUGCAGGCAUGGCUGCAACCAAAGGUAAAAGAAUAAAGAGCAAUGCAGUGAGGAUUGUGCUUCCAGUUGUAGGCUCUGGUGUUCUAUUACUCAUAUGCAUCUCCCUUGCAUGGUUAAAAUUCAAAGGCAAGAACAAGAAAGGGACAACACAAAAGAAUAUAAGGUUGGAGGGUCUGAGUAUGUCCGAUGAAUUUGAAGAAGAAAACUCUCCCCAUGAUCAAGAAUUUCCAUUUGUAAGAUUAGAAGAAAUUGCUUUCACAACCAACAAUUUCUCUGAAACAUGCAUGAUUGGACGGGGAGGCUUUGGUAAAGUAUACAAGGGAAUGUUAGGUGGUCAAGAAGUUGCAAUCAAGAGGCUAAGUAGAGAUUCUCAACAAGGAACAAAGGAAUUUAGGAAUGAAGUAAUUCUAAUUGCCAAAUUGCAACAUAGAAACUUGGUUCGACUUCUUGGAUGCUGCAGUGAGGGACAUGAAAAGCUCCUGAUAUACGAGUAUCUGCCAAAUAAGAGCUUAGAUGCUACCCUUUUUGAUGAGUCGAGAAAAUUGUUGUUGGAUUGGGCGACACGCUUUCGUAUAAUCAAAGGGGUUGCAAAGGGACUUCGGUAUCUUCACGAAGACUCAAGGUUCACCAUAAUUCAUAGAGACCUCAAAGCUGCAAAUGUUUUGUUAGAUGCAGAUUUUAAACCCAAGAUAGCAGAUUUUGGUAUGGCGAGGAUCUUUGGCGAGAACUUGGAAAAUGCGAAUACCCAACACGUUGUUGGAACAUAUGGUUACAUGGCUCCUGAGUAUGCAAUGGAAGGUGUCUUCUCUACCAAGUCUGACGUCUACAGUUUCGGCGUGUUACUACUGGAGGUUGUAACUGGUAUAAGGAGAAACUCCAUUAGUGAAACCAUGGGAUUCCCUAGCCUCACAGUAUAUUCAUGGAAUAUGUGGAAGGAAGAUAGGGCCAAUGAGCUGCCGGACUCAUCUAUCUUAGAUACUUCACCAGAUGAAAUUCUGCUUUGCAUCCAUGUAGCACUCUUGUGUGUCCAGGAGAACCCCGAUGAUAGGCCGCUCAUGUCAUCUGUUGUGUUUGUCCUAGAGAACGGGAGCACCCCACUUACAUCCCCCAAUCUCCCCGCCUACUUUGCAAGACGAAGUGCUGCAAUGAAUCAAAUCAGAACUGAUGUCCAGACAUCCGUGAACAGUUUUACUCUUACUGAGAUAGAGGGACGAUGA